RNAcentral lists this ribosomal RNA (804 nucleotides) under Klebsiella pneumoniae. RNAcentral describes it as "partial 23S ribosomal RNA". It matches the Rfam family "Bacterial large subunit ribosomal RNA", at positions 419 to 1226 of the family's 2925-position model. Lineage: Bacteria; Pseudomonadati; Pseudomonadota; Gammaproteobacteria; Enterobacterales; Enterobacteriaceae. The record is from RNAcentral.
GGGACACGUGGUAUCCUGUCUGAAUAUGGGGGGACCAUCCUCCAAGGCUAAAUACUCCUGACUGACCGAUAGUGAACCAGUACCGUGAGGGAAAGGCGAAAAGAACCCCGGCGAGGGGAGUGAAAAAGAACCUGAAACCGUGUACGUACAAGCAGUGGGAGCACCUUCGGGUGUGACUGCGUACCUUUUGUAUAAUGGGUCAGCGACUUAUAUUCUGUAGCAAGGUUAACCGUAUAGGGGAGCCGCAGGGAAACCGAGUCUUAACUGGGCGUUAAGUUGCAGGGUAUAGACCCGAAACCCGGUGAUCUAGCCAUGGGCAGGUUGAAGGUUGGGUAACACUAACUGGAGGACCGAACCGACUAAUGUUGAAAAAUUAGCGGAUGACUUGUGGCUGGGGGUGAAAGGCCAAUCAAACCGGGAGAUAGCUGGUUCUCCCCGAAAGCUAUUUAGGUAGCGCCUCGUGAACUCAUCUUCGGGGGUAGAGCACUGUUUCGGCUAGGGGGUCAUCCCGACUUACCAACCCGAUGCAAACUACGAAUACCGAAGAAUGUUAUCACGGGAGACACACGGCGGGUGCUAACGUCCGUCGUGAAGAGGGAAACAACCCAGACCGCCAGCUAAGGUCCCAAAGUCAUGGUUAAGUGGGAAACGAUGUGGGAAGGCACAGACAGCCAGGAUGUUGGCUUAGAAGCAGCCAUCAUUUAAAGAAAGCGUAAUAGCUCACUGGUCGAGUCGGCCUGCGCGGAAGAUGUAACGGGGCUAAACCAUGCACCGAAGCUGCGGCAGCGACACUAUGUGUUGUUG